This 467-nucleotide ribosomal RNA is filed under the name uncultured bacterium. RNAcentral's name for it is "partial 16S ribosomal RNA". It matches the Rfam family "Bacterial small subunit ribosomal RNA", at positions 28 to 506 of the family's 1533-position model. The record is from RNAcentral.
GACGAACGCUGGCGGCGUGCUUAACACAUGCAAGUCGAACGGAAAGGCCCUGCUUUUGUGGGGUGCUCGAGUGGCGAACGGGUGAGUAACACGUGAGUAACCUGCCCUUGACUUUGGGAUAACUUCAGGAAACUGGGGCUAAUACCGGAUAGGAGCUCCUGCUGCAUGGUGGGGGUUGGAAAGUUUCGGCGGUUGGGGAUGGACUCGCGGCUUAUCAGCUUGUUGGUGGGGUAGUGGCUUACCAAGGCUUUGACGGGUAGCCGGCCUGAGAGGGUGACCGGCCCAUUUGGAAUGAGGACCCGCCCGAGACUCCUCGGGGGGGCAGCGGGGGGGAGUAUUGACCAGUGGCGGGAGCCGUGAGCCGUCAACCCGGCGGGCGGGAUGCGGGCCUCGGUGUUGAAACCCGCUUCCGCUGGGGCGGAGGCGUGAGGGGCGGAAAUGGGAAAAGAAGCACCGCCAACUUACGU